ACAAGAAUAAACGUGGCGCAGAAGCUGUAAUCAGGCCCAUCCCAAUUAUAUUAAUUGAUAAGAGGUCUACUGCACAACCAAAGGCGAAGGGCUGCAAUUGCCUAAGCAGUACAGCACCAGGGCGGUCCGAGUGGACACGUACUGCAGCUGUUGGAUGGGCCUCCAACCGACUUGAACGCCCGAUUUUUUGAACAUAGAUCUGAGAACUGCAUUAGAUCUUCCGCUGAUACACCUACCGCUACAGAUAAUGUGGGCUCUGCUUCGAUCACUUUCUUUUCGAGUCGUACAACCGCCUUGUUCAUACUCCGAUCUCCUCCAUUCAUCUUGUAAGUGAUAUGGGAUAUUUUCGUCCUUCACAAUGACCCUUUCCUACCCCCUCACUCUCUCACUCUUACCAAACACCGGUUGUCAUUCACGGCUCCCAAACUUCCACAACGAGUGGUGUUCUUUCUUCUUUUUAUUCGUUAUGGCAUGAUCCACCACUGCAGCUAACUGACAGACACAUUAACCCACCAACCCACUCUAGCAUGGCUUCAGCUCAGUAUCGUUCACCGUUCUCUUGAAUUUUGCAACCACACCAC
RNAcentral lists this long non-coding RNA (581 nucleotides) under Physcomitrium patens. RNAcentral's name for it is "long non-coding RNA (PPAT_LNC006713)". The record is from RNAcentral. Lineage: Eukaryota; Viridiplantae; Streptophyta; Bryopsida; Funariales; Funariaceae.